CAAUAGCGUAUAUUAAAGUUGUUGCAGUUAAAAAGCUCGUAGUCGGAUUUGUGGCGUACGGUGUGUUCCGGGCACUUGUUGUCUGAGUAACCUGCUGUUGCCAUCCUUGGGUGGAACCUGUGUGGCAUUAGGUUGUCGUGCAGGGGAUGCCCAUCAUUUACUGUGAAAAAAUUAGAGUGUUCAAAGCAGGCUUAUGCCGUUGAAUAUAUUAGCAUGGAAUAAUGAGAUAGGACUUUUUUGCUAUUUUGUUGGUUUGCGCAAAGAGGUAAUGAUUAAUAGGGACAGUUGGGGGUAUUCGUAUUCCAUUGUCAGAGGUGAAAUUCUUGGAUUUUUGGAAGACGAACUACUGCGAAAGCAUUUACCAAGGAUGUUUUCAUUAA
This 380-nucleotide ribosomal RNA is filed under the name uncultured eukaryote. RNAcentral's name for it is "partial 18S ribosomal RNA". It matches the Rfam family "Eukaryotic small subunit ribosomal RNA", at positions 592 to 976 of the family's 1831-position model. The record is from RNAcentral.